RNAcentral lists this ribosomal RNA (492 nucleotides) under uncultured bacterium. Its description in RNAcentral is "partial 16S ribosomal RNA". It matches the Rfam family "Bacterial small subunit ribosomal RNA", at positions 29 to 507 of the family's 1533-position model. The record is from RNAcentral.
AGUGAACGCUGGCGGUAGGCCUAACACAUGCAAGUCGAACGGCAGCACAGUAAGAGCUUGCUCUUACGGGUGGCGAGUGGCGGACGGGUGAGGAAUACAUCGGAAUCUACUUUUUCGUGGGGGAUAACGUAGGGAAACUUACGCUAAUACCGCAUACGACCUACGGGUGAAAGCAGGGGAUCUUCGGACCUUGCGCGAUUGAAUGAGCCGAUGUCGGAUUAGCUAGUUGGCGGGGUAAAGGCCCACCAAGGCGACGAUCCGUAGCUGGUCUGAGAGGAUGAACAGCCACAAUGGAACCGAGACACGGUCCAGACUCCUACGGGAGGCAGCAGUGGGGAAUAUUGGACAAUGGGCGCAAGCCUGAUCCAGCCAUACCGCGUGGGUGAAGAAGGCCUUCGGGUUGUAAAGCCCUUUUGUUGGGAAAGAAAAGCAGCAGGUUAAUACCCCGCUGUUCUGACGGUACCCAAAGAAUAAGCACCGGCUAACUUCGUG